UACGAAGGGGGCUAGCGUUGCUCGGAAUUACUGGGCGUAAAGCGCACGUAGGCGGAUCUUUAAGUCAGGGGUGAAAUCCUGGAGCUCAACUCCAGAACUGCCUUUGAUACUGAGGAUCUUGAGUUCGGGAGAGGUGAGUGGAACUGCGAGUGUAGAGGUGAAAUUCGUAGAUAUUCGCAAGAACACCAGUGGCGAAGGCGGCUCACUGGC
Molecule: ribosomal RNA, 210 nt
Filed under: uncultured bacterium
Lineage: Bacteria
Description: partial 16S ribosomal RNA
Rfam family: Bacterial small subunit ribosomal RNA
Source: RNAcentral